GUUUACUUCGGAAGUCAUGUAGUAAUAUUAGAUCAAUAAUGAGAAAAUUAGCGUAGCUCUUGAUAAAGAAUGAUGAAUAGGCUUAUGAAGUUAUCCAGAAUUUU
Non-coding RNA from Pteropus alecto (black flying fox), 104 nucleotides. The record is from Rfam. NCBI's taxonomy places the organism in Eukaryota, Metazoa, Chordata, Mammalia, Chiroptera, Pteropodidae.